RNAcentral lists this ribosomal RNA (253 nucleotides) under uncultured bacterium. RNAcentral describes it as "partial 16S ribosomal RNA". It matches the Rfam family "Bacterial small subunit ribosomal RNA", at positions 524 to 776 of the family's 1533-position model. The record is from RNAcentral.
UACGUAGGUGGCAAGCGUUGUCCGGAAUUAUUGGGCGUAAAGCGCGUGUAGGCGGUUCGGUAAGUCCGCUGUGAAAGUCGGGGGCUCAACCCUCGGAUGCCGGUGGAUACUGUCGGACUAGAGUACGGAAGAGGCGAGUGGAAUUCCUGGUGUAGCGGUGAAAUGCGCAGAUAUCAGGAGGAACACCAAUUGCGAAGGCAGCUCGCUGGGACGUUACUGACGCUGAGACGCGAAAGCGUGGGGAGCAAACAGG